AGUGAACGCUGGCGGUAGGCCUAACACAUGCAAGUCGAACGGCAGCACAGGAGAGCUUGCUCUCUGGGUGGCGAGUGGCGGACGGGUGAGGAAUACAUCGGAAUCUACUCUGUCGUGGGGGACAACGUAGGGAAACUUACGCUAAUACCGCAUACGACCUACGGGUGAAAGCAGGGGACCUUCGGGCCUUGCGCGAUUGAAUGAGCCGAUGUCGGAUUAGCUAGUUGGUGGGGUAAAGGCCCACCAAGGCGACGAUCCGUAGCUGGUCUGAGAGGAUGAUCAGCCACACUGGAACUGAGACACGGUCCAGACUCCUACGGGAGGCAGCAGUGGGGAAUAUUGGACAAUGGGCGCAAGCCUGAUCCAGCCAUACCGCGUGGGUGAAGAAGGCCUUCGGGUUGUAAAGCCCUUUUGUUGGGAAAGAAAUCCAGCUGGCUAAUACCCGGUUGGGAUGACGGUACCCAAAGAAUAAGCACCGGCUAACUUCGUGCCAGCAGCCGCGGUAA
This 506-nucleotide ribosomal RNA is filed under the name uncultured bacterium. RNAcentral's name for it is "partial 16S ribosomal RNA". It matches the Rfam family "Bacterial small subunit ribosomal RNA", at positions 29 to 523 of the family's 1533-position model. The record is from RNAcentral.